UUCCAUGGAAGGUACUGGAAUCAGAGGUUCCUGUCACUCAUCUCUUUUUUAAAUGCCCCUUGGCAAUUAUUACUUUACCUGACCGUUUGAUUUUUUCUCCUCUUUUUUUUCGGUUUAGGCAUUUUUUUUAUUUUUUAUUUUUUUAUUUUUUUUUAUUUUUUAUUUUUUUUUAUUUUUUUUUUUGCAGGAUCAAUCUUGAUUCCUCUGAUUUAC
RNAcentral lists this long non-coding RNA (213 nucleotides) under Lathyrus oleraceus (garden pea). Its description in RNAcentral is "Pisum sativum (pea) long non-coding RNA (PSAT_LNC041157)". The record is from RNAcentral. Lineage: Eukaryota; Viridiplantae; Streptophyta; Magnoliopsida; Fabales; Fabaceae.